GGGGAUUUAGCUCAGUGGUAGAGCGCUUGCCUAGCAAGUGCAAGGCCCUGGGUUCGGUCCCCGGCUCCG
Molecule: non-coding RNA, 69 nt
Organism: Rattus norvegicus (Norway rat)
Lineage: Eukaryota; Metazoa; Chordata; Mammalia; Rodentia; Muridae
Source: Rfam